GGGAGCGACUUGGCUUCGACAGGAGUAAGUCUGCUUAGAUGGCAUGUCGCUUUGGGCAAAGCGUAAAAAGCCCAAAUAAAAUUAAACGCAAACAACGUUAAAUUCGCUCCUGCUUACGCUAAAGCUGCGUAAGUUCAGUUGAGCCUGAAAUUUAAGUCAUACUAUCUAGCUUAAUUUUCAGUCAUUUUUGAUAGUGUAGCCUUGCGUUUGACAAGCGUUGAGGUGAAAUAAAGUCUUAGCCUUGCUUUUGAGUUUUGGAAGAUGAGCGAAGUAGGGUGAAGUAGUCAUCUUUGCUAAGCAUGUAGAGGUCUUUGUGGGAUUAUUUUUGGACAGGGGUUCGAUUCCCCUCGCUUCCACCA
RNAcentral lists this transfer-messenger RNA (359 nucleotides) under Campylobacter jejuni. It matches the Rfam family "transfer-messenger RNA". Rfam says of the family: Bacterial tmRNA, also known as 10Sa RNA or SsrA, is named for its dual tRNA and mRNA-like properties. Its role is to liberate the mRNA from a stalled ribosome. RNAcentral also lists the same sequence under 1 other name. Lineage: Bacteria; Pseudomonadati; Campylobacterota; Epsilonproteobacteria; Campylobacterales; Campylobacteraceae. The record is from RNAcentral.